AGUGAACGCUGGCGGUAGGCCUAACACGUGCAAGUCGAACGGCAGCACAGUAAGAGCUUGCUCUUACGGGUGGCGGGUGGCGGACGGGUGAGGAAUACAUCGGAAUCUACUUUUUCGUGGGGGAUAACGUAGGGAAACUUACGCUAAUACCGCAUACGACCUACGGGUGAAAGCAGGGGAUCUUCGGACCUUGCGCGAUUGAAUGAGCCGAUGUCGGAUUAGCUAGUUGGCGGGGUAAAGGCCCACCAAGGCGACGAUCCGUAGCUGGUCUGAGAGGAUGAUCAGCCACACUGGAACUGAGACACGGUCCAGACUCCUACGGGAGGCAGCAGUGGGGAAUAUUGGACAAUGGGCGCAAGCCUGAUCCAGCCAUACCGCGUGGGUGAAGAAGGCCUUCGGGUUGUAAAGCCCUUUUGUUGGGAAAGAAAAGCAGCAGGUUAAUACCCCGCUGUUCUGACGGUACCCAAAGAAUAAGCACCGGCUAACUUCGUG
This 492-nucleotide ribosomal RNA is filed under the name uncultured bacterium. Its description in RNAcentral is "partial 16S ribosomal RNA". It matches the Rfam family "Bacterial small subunit ribosomal RNA", at positions 29 to 507 of the family's 1533-position model. The record is from RNAcentral.